GCCUGGGUGGCUCAGUCGGUUGAGCGACGGACUUCGGCUCAGGUCACGAUUUCGUGGUCUGUGGGUUCGAGACCCGCGUUGGGCU
RNAcentral lists this transfer RNA (85 nucleotides) under Felis catus (domestic cat). It matches the Rfam family "tRNA". Rfam says of the family: Transfer RNA (tRNA) molecules are approximately 80 nucleotides in length. Their secondary structure includes four short double-helical elements and three loops (D, anti-codon, and T loops). Further hydrogen bonds mediate the characteristic L-shaped molecular structure. tRNAs have two regions of fundamental functional importance: the anti-codon, which is responsible for specific mRNA codon recognition, and the 3' end, to which the tRNAs corresponding amino acid is attached (by aminoacyl-tRNA synthetases). tRNAs cope with the degeneracy of the genetic code in two manners: having more than one tRNA (with a specific anti-codon) for a particular amino acid; and 'wobble' base-pairing, i.e. permitting non-standard base-pairing at the 3rd anti-codon position. Lineage: Eukaryota; Metazoa; Chordata; Mammalia; Carnivora; Felidae. RNAcentral also lists the same sequence under 2 other names. The record is from Rfam by way of RNAcentral.